GACCUGUUGUUCCUGACACUCUUGCGAGGUGGGUGGAUUAAACCCUCUGCCUCUGCUAGCUUUUCUCCCAGGUCUCACACCUGGACCCCCCACCCCCACCAACUCCCCUCCCAGGCCUCCCACCCAGACCCCCACUCCCCUCCUAGGCCUCCCACCUAGACCCCUGCCCCCACCAAUUCCCCUUCCAGGCCUCACACCUGGACCCCCACCCCCACUGACUCCC
RNAcentral lists this long non-coding RNA (223 nucleotides) under Homo sapiens (human). RNAcentral describes it as "HSALNT0360965". Lineage: Eukaryota; Metazoa; Chordata; Mammalia; Primates; Hominidae. The record is from RNAcentral.